Erinaceus europaeus (western European hedgehog) is the source of this 1463-nucleotide long non-coding RNA. RefSeq lists it as uncharacterized. The transcript is spliced from 2 exons. NCBI's taxonomy places the organism in Eukaryota, Metazoa, Chordata, Mammalia, Eulipotyphla, Erinaceidae. The record is from RefSeq and is a predicted model, not a curated record.
AGAGUAUACCUGUCCACACGUACUCCCAAGAAUCUGUAUGCACCUCUGGUGAUGUCUUCAUGUUGUAACUUCCCUCAUAACUGAAACUGUAAACCCAGAGAAGCCCUGAAGAACCUGUGACUAGUGGUGUUUCAAACCCUGAAAAGGAGUUUCACAACUAUUUUUUUCCAACCAAUAGGAUUUUGUACUAUGCCUGUGGUGCUAACAGAAGAAGGCAGAAGAAGCCUAAUCACCUCUGGGAAGGUGAUGCUUCAAGAUGCUUGGAAUCUAACCUGGUUGGCUCUCUCUCAUAUGAACCAUGGCCAUGUAUUUGCACUGGGCAUGUCCUGCCAACUGGAACCAGAAGCCAGCAUGAGGGAACAGGAACCUUCUCAGAGUCCUGCAUCCUUGCUAGGGACUUCAACCUUCUCCAGAGAAUCACAACUUUCCUAGGGGCCUAUAACUUUUCCAGAGGUCCAGAGCCUUCCCAGGGACCAACAACUCUCUCAGGGACCCAUUAACCACUGAGGGAACUGAAGCCUUCCUGGGAGUCUGGAACCUAGCCUGAGACCUGGAACUUUCCUGAAAUAUAUGACUGAAACACAAUUUCUGCCUACCUGGGCAUAACGGUGUGUGUGUGUGUGUGUGUGUGUGUGUGUAUGUCUAGGAGUGUACAUGCAUGUGUGUAUGGAAAAGAAGGAAAGUCAUUUCAAAAAUAUGAAAAUUGUUUCCAGAAAAAGAUGCUGUAGAGACUACAAACACUCCACUCAUUAACAGAUCUUUUUCUCUCUAUGUGAUUAAGAUUCUUCUAGAUGGAAACUUAGUCAAACAAAUGUAUCACGUUCCUGAUUCAGUCCAGCCCAGUGGCAUAGAGGGAUUUAUGGUGACAAAGUCACCCUAACUGAGAGCAUAAUGAUGCAGACCAGCACAGGUUUGCUAGGAUAACUAUGAUUGCAUGGGGUAGGGGGUGUCUCAGGCUGGGGCCAGUGCUGGAGUGAGAGGAGGUGCCCACCUUGUUUAGUUCCCAACAUGCUGGAUCGACAGCAGCCUCUGUCUUCUGAUCUCCCUCAUCUCUGAAAGCAGAGAUGGGACUUUGGUAUCCAAAACCUCAUAUCUAACAUUCUAGCUCUGUAGCUAGGAACCCAACCAUCCAUACUUUUUAAAGUGACAUCUUAAUUGUUCCCUUUAUAGAUUUUAAUUCACAUUCCACUGUGCAGCUCCAGACCUCUCCCAGAUGAGCAAAUCCUGCUCAGCAAUGAUACUGGCUGAGAAGUAGAAUUCAAUCAUGACUAAAGGAGAAAGUCAGGUAUGAAACAGAGCCACUGGGAUUUGGUGAACACAGUAGAAGGACUUUAUGGGAGCAUCAGAGUAUUAACCAGGUUUGAUGGCCUUUUGUGUUACCUAGACUCCUGAGUAAGAUUAAUGUCUGUUUCUCACCGCAUGGAUGCUAUCAUAUUCAUUAAACAAACAAGUGUGUUUUCUGA